Molecule: ribosomal RNA, 141 nt
Filed under: Apicomplexa sp.
Lineage: Eukaryota; Apicomplexa
Description: partial small subunit ribosomal RNA
Rfam family: Eukaryotic small subunit ribosomal RNA
Source: RNAcentral
AGUUGGUGGGGUGACUUGUCUGGUUAAUUCCGAUAACGAACGAGAUCCGAGCAGUUUUGUUGCUUGAAAUUAUGUGAUAUAGUUUUUAGUUCCUAAAUGGACCAUCAGAAUAAUCUGAAGGAAGUGACGGGCUAAAUCAGG